AGAAUUCAGCAUAAGGUAAAGCAAAGACGGUGCCUCUACAUACCAAAAGCUGGUGUUUGAUCUUAUGAAAAUGUGGAGAUUUUGCUAAGAAAUCUGUGAACCUAUUUCUUUCCUUCAACGCCCAACCGCGGACUUCUUUGAGGAAUUGUGUCCAGAAUUCAGCAUAUGGUAAAGCAAAGACGGUGCCUCUACAUACCAAAAGCUGGUGUUUGAUCUUAUGAAAAUGUGGAGGUAAAUAUCUUCUUCAUAAACGUGGUGCAGCUUUUGUAUAGUUGCACAUAAAUAGUCACUCUGUGUUUUGUUACUUGUCUUUGAGAUUUUGCUAAGAAAUCUGUGAACCUAUUUCUUUCCUUCAACGCCCAACCGCGGACUUCUUUGAGGAAUUGUGUCCAGAAUUCAG
Molecule: long non-coding RNA, 400 nt
Organism: Xenopus laevis (African clawed frog)
Lineage: Eukaryota; Metazoa; Chordata; Amphibia; Anura; Pipidae
Exons: 4
Source: RefSeq, a predicted model, not a curated record